This is a long non-coding RNA of Alligator mississippiensis (American alligator), 465 nucleotides long. RefSeq lists it as uncharacterized. The transcript is spliced from 3 exons. Lineage: Eukaryota; Metazoa; Chordata; Crocodylia; Alligatoridae. The record is from RefSeq and is a predicted model, not a curated record.
UGCAGUUGGAGACAGUGGGCAAAGGGGAAGGAGGUUGUGCAUGUGAGCUCCACAGACAGGCUUGGCUGCUGUGAGAAGGGAACUCAUGAUGACUCUCAGAGAAGCAGUGGCAGUGUCAGAGGGGGGAGUGUCAUAGACAGUGGGAAAGCAGAAGCACCAAGCCACAAAGAAAUAACCACAACCAAAAGUCAAGGGGCAGGACACUGCCUUCCAGACCCGAUGCCCAGGAUGUGCAGCGUCCUGGGAGAUAUUUAGAAAACUUUCAUGGGCAGAACUCGUGGCAACCUGUAAUGAAUGAAGACAGAGUGAAAGAAAUAACAUUAUCUUCAAAUUUACAGUUUCUUUUUUUAAAUUUUUUUUACAUUUUGUAUAUAUUUUAUAUUGUGAAGCUACUGGGGAGGAAGAUCCCAUUUUUUUUUUUUUUUAAAUAAAUUUUGAAUGAAGUGUUUUAUUUUUGCUCUCUAU